GUGAAUCAUCGAAUUUUUGAACGCAAAUUGCACUCUCUUCGGAGAGGAUGCCUGUUUGAGGUUCAGCGUAAAAAAAAUUGACAUAGGCGCUGUUGCUGUGUGGCGUUCGUCGGGAAUUGGGUUAUCUUAAACCUUUUGGUUUUAAGCGGCUUAAAAUUUUCUUUACGAUUCCACUAACGUUUCUAAGAUUGACUUAUACUUUUAAGGUAUCGAGCUUUAUUAUACGUGUCCGGUA
RNAcentral lists this unclassified non-coding RNA (235 nucleotides) under Glomus sp. RNAcentral's name for it is "partial contains 5.8S ribosomal RNA and internal transcribed spacer 2". The stretch from base 1 to 65 matches the Rfam family "5.8S ribosomal RNA", at positions 84 to 154 of the family's 154-position model. Lineage: Eukaryota; Fungi; Glomeromycota; Glomeromycetes; Glomerales; Glomeraceae. The record is from RNAcentral.